This 45-nucleotide non-coding RNA is filed under the name Echinostoma caproni. The record is from RNAcentral. Lineage: Eukaryota; Metazoa; Platyhelminthes; Trematoda; Plagiorchiida; Echinostomatidae.
GCACCGCUGACGAGUUCCGAACAGGACAAAACAACUGUCCGGUGC